RNAcentral lists this ribosomal RNA (507 nucleotides) under uncultured bacterium. RNAcentral describes it as "bacterial SSU rRNA". It matches the Rfam family "Bacterial small subunit ribosomal RNA", at positions 8 to 518 of the family's 1533-position model. The record is from RNAcentral.
AGAGUUUGAUCCUGGCUCAGGAUGAACGCUGGCGGCGUGCCUAACACAUGCAAGUCGAACGGAGAAUUAAGCGGAAGCUUCGGAUGGAAGCUCAGCACUUAGUGGCGGACGGGUGAGUAACGCGUGGGCAACCUGCCCUGUACCGGGGGAUAACACUUAGAAAUAGGUGCUAAUACCGCAUAAGCGCACGGUCUCGCAUGAGACAGUGUGAAAAACUCCGGUGGUACAGGAUGGACCCGCGUCUGAUUAGCUAGUUGGUGGGGUAGAGGCCUACCAAGGCGACGAUCAGUAGCCGGCCUGAGAGGGUGACCGGCCACAUUGGGACUGAGACACGGCCCAAACUCCUACGGGAGGCAGCAGUGGGGAAUAUUGCACAAUGGGGGAAACCCUGAUGCCAGCGACGCCGCGUGAGUGAAGAAGUAUUUCGGUAUGUAAAGCUCUAUCAGCAGGGAAGAAAAUGACGGUACCUGACUAAGAAGCCCCGGCUAACUACGUGCCAGCCGCUGC